GGUUAACGCUGGCGGCGUGCCUAACACAUGCAAGUCGAACGGUUCUAAGCGCGAGCUUAGGAUAGUGGCGAACGGGUGAGUAAAAGGUAGGAAUCUACCCCUUGGACGGAGAUAGCUACUGGAAACGGUAGGUAAACUUCGAUAAGCCCGAGAGGGGAAAGUGGUGAGACAGCCGAGGGAUGAGCCUACUCUCCAUCAGGUAGUUGGUGAGAUAAAAGCUUACCAAGCCGAUGACGGAUAACCGGUGUGAGAGCAUGAACGGUCACAAGGGCACUGAGAGACGGGCCCUACUCCUACGGGAGGCAGCAGUGGGGAAUCUUCCGCAAUGGGCGCAAGCCUGACGGAGCAACGCCGCGUGGGUGAAGAAGGCCUUCGGGUUGUAAAGCCCUGUCUUAUGGGAAGAAGUCAGUGACGGUACCAUAGGAGGAAGCCACGGCUAACUACGUG
RNAcentral lists this ribosomal RNA (447 nucleotides) under uncultured bacterium. RNAcentral describes it as "bacterial SSU rRNA". It matches the Rfam family "Bacterial small subunit ribosomal RNA", at positions 28 to 507 of the family's 1533-position model. The record is from RNAcentral.